GGCCGCAUGGUCUAGUGGUAUGAUUCUUGCUUUGGGUGCAAGAGGCCACGGGUUCGAUUCCCGUUGCGGCCC
RNAcentral lists this transfer RNA (72 nucleotides) under Perkinsela sp. CCAP 1560/4. It matches the Rfam family "tRNA". From Rfam's summary of the family: Transfer RNA (tRNA) molecules are approximately 80 nucleotides in length. Their secondary structure includes four short double-helical elements and three loops (D, anti-codon, and T loops). Lineage: Eukaryota; Euglenozoa; Kinetoplastea; Prokinetoplastida; Perkinselidae. The record is from Rfam by way of RNAcentral.